AAGAGCAUCAAUGCUCAAGUUAAAGUUGUCUGCACUGCGGCAAGGAACAGGUAUAAUCUCCACUCCAGUUCUCCACUUGACAUCCCUAUCAAGAUCAGGAUAAUAUGGUGAGGGAACAAGAAAAGCAUUUCCAGGAUCAGCUAGGCAGAAGCUCAGUAUCUCAAGCGCAGGAGUUGCACCACCGGUAAGAACCAUUUGUGAGGGGCUGAAGGACACUGAUCUCUCUAGAGCUUGAGACAUAAAUUCUCCCACAGCCACUUUCAGCUCCAAUA
This 272-nucleotide unclassified non-coding RNA is filed under the name Hevea brasiliensis (rubber tree). Lineage: Eukaryota; Viridiplantae; Streptophyta; Magnoliopsida; Malpighiales; Euphorbiaceae. The record is from RNAcentral.